Molecule: long non-coding RNA, 676 nt
Organism: Oncorhynchus tshawytscha (Chinook salmon)
Lineage: Eukaryota; Metazoa; Chordata; Actinopteri; Salmoniformes; Salmonidae
Exons: 4
Source: RefSeq, a predicted model, not a curated record
CCAGACUCCACAGGUAAUACUUCAGGUAUUCCAGACUCCACAGGUAAUACUUCAGGUAUUCCAGACUCCACAGGUAAUACUUCAGGUAUUCCAGACUCCACAGGUAAUACUUCAGGUAUUCCAGACUCCACAGGUAAUACUUCAGGUAUUCCAGACUCCACAGGUAAUACUUCAGGUAUUCCAGACUCCACAGGUAAUACUUCAGGUAUUCCAGACUCCACAGGUAAUACUUCAGGUAUUCCAGACUACACAGGUAAUACUUCAGGUAUUCCAGACUCCACAGGUAAUACUUCAGGUAUUCCAGACUACACAGGUAAUACUUCAGGUAUUCCAGACUACACAGGUAAUACUUCAGGUAUUCCAGACUACACAGGUAAUACUUCAGGUAUUCCAGACUACACAGGUAAUACUUCAGGUAUUCCAGACUACACAGGUAAUACUUCAGGUAUUCCAGACUACACAGGUACUACUUCAGGUAUUCCAGACUACACAGGUAAUACUUCAGGUAUUCCAGACUCCACAGGUGUUAUUAGUUCACUACAACAGUUGAUCUAACGUGGUAUGAUCUCCAGUGGAAGCAGCAGGACUUACAGUGUCGUGGGCAGCAGCAGGUCUCAGGGCAGCACCAACAGGACACAUAACAGCAGCAGGAGUGAGGACAGCACUGGCACCAACA